AUUGAACGCUGGCGGCAGGCCUAACACAUGCAAGUCGAGCGGUUGAGGUAGCUUGCUACCGAAGCAGCGGCGAACGGGUGAGUAAUGCAUGGGAAUCUGCCUGGUAGUGGGGGACAACGUUUCGAAAGGAACGCUAAUACCGCAUACGCCCUACGGGGGAAAGGGGGGGAUCUUCGGACCUCUCGCUAUCAGAUGAGCCCAUGCCGGAUUAGCUAGUUGGGGGGGUAAAGGCCCACCAAGGCGACGAUCCGUAGCUGGUCUGAGAGGAUGAUCAGCCACACUGGAACUGAGACACGGUCCAGACUCCUACGGGAGGCAGCAGUGGGGAAUAUUGGACAAUGGGGGCAACCCUGAUCCAGCCAUGCCGCGUGUGUGAAGAAGGCCUUAGGGUUGUAAAGCACUUUCAGUGGGGAGAAAGGUGAUUCACCUAAUACGUGAGUCAAUUGAUGCUACCCACAGAAGAAGCACCGGCUAACUCCGUGCCAGCAGCCGCGGUAA
RNAcentral lists this ribosomal RNA (498 nucleotides) under uncultured bacterium. RNAcentral's name for it is "partial 16S ribosomal RNA". It matches the Rfam family "Bacterial small subunit ribosomal RNA", at positions 30 to 523 of the family's 1533-position model. The record is from RNAcentral.